GACGAACGCUGGCGGCGUGCUUAACACAUGCAAGUCGAACGGAAAGGCCCUGCUUUUGUGGGGUGCGCGAGUGGCGAACGGGUGAGUAACACGUGAGUAACCUGCCCUUGACUUUGGGAUAACUUCAGGAAACUGGGGCUAAUACCGGAUAGGAGCUCCUGCUGCAUGGUGGGGGUUGGAAAGUUUCGGCGGUGGGGGAUGGACUCGCGGCUUAUCAGCUUGUUGGUGGGGUAGUGGCUUACAAAGGCUUUGACGGGUAGCCGGCCUGAGAGGGUGACCGGCAACAUUGGGACUGAGAUCCGGCCCAGACUCCUACGGGGGGCAGCAGUGGGGAAUAUUGCACAAUGGGCGGAAGCCUGAUGCAGCAACGCCGCGUGCGGGAUGACGGCCUUCGGGUUGUAAACCGCUUUCGCCUGUGACGAAGCGUGAGUGACGGUAAUGGGUAAAGAAGCACCGGCUAACUACGUG
This 468-nucleotide ribosomal RNA is filed under the name uncultured bacterium. RNAcentral's name for it is "partial 16S ribosomal RNA". It matches the Rfam family "Bacterial small subunit ribosomal RNA", at positions 28 to 507 of the family's 1533-position model. The record is from RNAcentral.